ACAGAGGGGGCGAGCGUUAUUCGGAAUUAUUGGGCGUAAAGGGCGCGUAGGCGGCUUGGCAAGUGGAUGGUGAAAUCCCUCGGCUUAACCGAGGAACUGCCGUCCAAACUGCUUUGCUUGAGGCCGGGAGAGGCGAGUGGAAUUCCCAGUGUAGCGGUGAAAUGCGUAGAUAUUGGGAGGAACACCAGUGGCGAAGGCGGCUCGCUGGACCGGUUCUGACGCUGAGGCGCGAAAGCGUGGGGAGCAAACGGGAUUAGAUACCCCGGUAGUCCACGCCGUAAACGAUGAGUGCUUGGUGUAGCGGGUAUCGACCCCUGCUGUGCCGAAGUCAACACAUUAAGCACUCCGCCUGGGGAGUACGGUCGCAAGGCUG
Molecule: ribosomal RNA, 373 nt
Filed under: uncultured bacterium
Lineage: Bacteria
Description: bacterial SSU rRNA
Rfam family: Bacterial small subunit ribosomal RNA
Source: RNAcentral